CGGAUCCGCGCCGCUGCAGAGUUUGAUCCUGGCUCAGGACGAACGCUGGCGGCGUGCCUAACACAUGCAAGUCGAACGGGGCUAAAGAGCUUGCUCUUUAGCUUAGUGGCGGACGGGUGAGUAAUGCGUGAGCAACCUGCCUGUCAGUGGGGGAUAACUUCCGGAAACGGACGCUAAUACCGCAUAUUGUACAUAAUCCGCAUGGAUAAGUGUAUGAAAGGAGCAAUCCGCUGAUAGAUGGGCUCACGUCCGAUUAGUUUGUUGGUGGGGUAAUGGCCUACCAAGACUGCGAUCGGUAGCCGGGCUGAGAGGCUGAACGGCCACAUUGGGACUGAGACACGGCCCAGACUCCUACGGGAGGCAGCAGUGGGGGAUAUUGCACAAUGGGGGAAACCCUGAUGCAGCAACGCCGCGUGAGGGAUGAAGGUUUUCGGAUUGUAAACCUCUGUCCUUAGUGAAGAAAAAAAUGACGGUAACUAAGGAGGAAGCUCCGGCUAACUACGUGCCAGCAGCCGCGGUAAUACGUAGGGAGCGAGCGUUGUCCGGAUUUAUUGGGUGUAAAGGGUGCGUAGGCGGCUAUGUAAGUCAGACGUGUAAUGCAGGGGCUUAACCUCUGAACUGCGUUUGAAACUGUGUGGCUUGAGUGGAGUAGAGGCAGAUGGAAUUUCCAGUGUAGCGGUGAAAUGCGUAGAUAUUGGAAGGAACACCAGUGGCGAAGGCGAUCUGCUGGGCUCUAACUGACGCUGAUGCACGAAAGCAUGGGGAGCAAACAGGAUUAGAUACCCUGGUAGUCCAUGCCGUAAACGAUGAUUACUAGGUGUGGGGGGACUGACCCCUUCCGUGCCGGAGUUAACACAAUAAGUAAUCCACCUGGGAAGUACGAUCGCAAGGUUGAAACUCAAAGGAAUUGACGGGGGCCCGCACAAGCAGUGGAGUAUGUGGUCUAAUUCGAAGAUACGCGAAAAACCUUACCAGGUCUUGACAUCCAACUAACGAAGUAGAGAUACAUUAGGUGCCCUUCGGGGAAAGUUGAGACAGGUGGUGCAUGGUUGUCGUCAGCUCGUGUCGUGAGAUGUUGGGUUAAGUCCCGCAACGAGCGCAACCCUUACGGUUAGUUGCUACGCAAGAGCACUCUAACAGGACUGCCGUUGACAAAACGGAGGAAGGUGGGGAUGACGUCAAAUCAUCAUGCCCUUUAUGACCUGGGCUACACACGUACCACAAUGGCCGCUAACAGAGGGAUACAAUGGAGCGAUCCGGAGUCAAACCCUAAAAGCGGUCCCAGUUCAGAUUGCAGGCUGCAACUCGCCUGUAUGAAGUUGGAAUUGCUAGUAAUCGCGAAUCAGCAUGUCGCGGUGAAUACGUUCCCGGGCCUUGUACACACCGCCCGUCACACCAUGGGAGCCGGUAAUACCCAAAGUCAGUUGCCUAACCUUCGGGAGGGCGCUGCCUAAGGUAGGAUUGGCGACUGGGGUGAAGUCGUAACAAGGUAA
This 1493-nucleotide ribosomal RNA is filed under the name uncultured bacterium. RNAcentral describes it as "bacterial SSU rRNA". It matches the Rfam family "Bacterial small subunit ribosomal RNA". The record is from RNAcentral.